GUUGUAGUCUGGAGAAGUGCUUUCCGCGUUGGACCGUGUAUAAGUCUCUUGGAAUAGAGCGUCAUAGAGGGUGAGAAUCCCGUCUUUGACACGGACUACCAGUGCUUUGUGAUGCGCUCUCAAAGAGUCGAGUUGUUUGGGAAUGCAGCUCAAAAUGGGUGGUAAAUUCCAUCUAAAGCUAAAUAUUGGCGAGAGACCGAUAGCGAACAAGUACCGUGAGGGAAAGAUGAAAAGCACUUUGGAAAGAGAGUUAAACAGUACGUGAAAUUGCUGAAAGGGAAACACUUGAAGUCAGUCGUGUUGUUUGGAACUCAGCCUUGCUUUUGCUUGGUGCACUUUCUGAAUGACAGGCCAGCAUCAAUUUUGACCGUUGGAAAAAGGCAGGGGGAAUGUGGCACCUUCGGGUGUGUUAUAGCCUCUUGUCACAUACAACGGUUGGGAUUGAGGACCGCAGCACGCCGCAAGGCAGGGGGUUUCCCACUUUCGUGCUUAGGAUGCUGGCAUAAUGGCUUUAAAUGACCCGUCUUGAAACACGGACCAAGGAGUCUAACAUGCCUGCGAGUGUUUGGGUGGAAAACCCGAGCGCGUAAUGAAAGUGAAAGUUGAGACCUCUGUCGUGGAGGGCAUCGACGCCCGGACCUGACGUUCUCUGACGGAUCCGCGGUAGAGCAUGUAUGUUGGGACCCGAAAGAUGGUGAACUAUGCCUGAAUAGGGUGAAGCCAGAGGAAACUCUGGUG
RNAcentral lists this ribosomal RNA (738 nucleotides) under Cerioporus squamosus. Its description in RNAcentral is "partial large subunit ribosomal RNA". It matches the Rfam family "Eukaryotic large subunit ribosomal RNA", at positions 142 to 869 of the family's 3401-position model. Lineage: Eukaryota; Fungi; Basidiomycota; Agaricomycetes; Polyporales; Polyporaceae. The record is from RNAcentral.